CUCAAAGAGUUACACACUAAUCUACCCUAAAUACAGAAAAGGAACUCAGCACAUAUAAAGCCUAAACAUGUGCUGUAAUAUUUACUUACCUCCAUAUUGUGCACACAUUUUGUUGUAUAAAAGCCUAAACAUGUGCCCACAUUACCAAUCAGGAGGAAUAGCAAGUAAUACAGUAGAAAAGGACAGUGAAGAUAGGCUACUAUUCAGAAGAAAUCUCUUAAAAUUAAAUAUCCAUUAACCUCGAUACAUGAACUUUGUACCUACAUUACCAAACUCGAUAUAGAGAGGAUAGAUACCUUCCUUCUCAAAACAAAAUAGCAGGAUGAGACAGGG
This is a non-coding RNA of Pelobates cultripes (western spadefoot toad), 333 nucleotides long. The record is from the annotation of a GenBank genome assembly. Lineage: Eukaryota; Metazoa; Chordata; Amphibia; Anura; Pelobatidae.